RNAcentral lists this ribosomal RNA (496 nucleotides) under uncultured bacterium. RNAcentral describes it as "partial 16S ribosomal RNA". It matches the Rfam family "Bacterial small subunit ribosomal RNA", at positions 28 to 506 of the family's 1533-position model. The record is from RNAcentral.
GAUGAACGCUGGCGGCGUGCCUAAUACAUGCAAGUCGAGCGAACAGAUGAGGAGCUUGCUCCUCUGACGUUAGCGGCGGACGGGUGAGUAACACGUGGAUAACCUACCUAUAAGACUGGGAUAACUUCGGGAAACCGGAGCUAAUACCGGAUAAUAUAUUGAACCGCAUGGUUCAAUAGUGAAAGACGGUUUUGCUGUCACUUAUAGAUGGAUCCGCGCCGCAUUAGCUAGUUGGUAAGGUAACGGCUUACCAAGGCAACGAUGCGUAGCCGACCUGAGAGGGUGAUCGGCCACACUGGAACUGAGACCCGGUCCAGACUCCUACGGGAGGCAGCAGUAGGGAAUCUUCCGCAAUGGGCGAAAGCCUGACGGAGCAACGCCGCGUGAGUGAUGAAGGUCUUCGGAUCGUAAAACUCUGUUAUUAGGGAAGAACAAAUGUGUAAGUAACUAUGCACGUCUUGACGGUACCUAAUCAGAAAGCCACGGCUAACUACGU